GUGUUCACUUCAGCAGUACAUAAACUAAAAUUAGAACAAUGCAGAGAAGAUAAGCAUGGCCACUGGGCAAGGACACCACACAAAUUCAUGAAGCAUUCCAUAUUUUU
Choloepus didactylus (southern two-toed sloth) is the source of this 107-nucleotide small nuclear RNA. The record is from RefSeq and is a predicted model, not a curated record. NCBI's taxonomy places the organism in Eukaryota, Metazoa, Chordata, Mammalia, Pilosa, Megalonychidae.